Anopheles coluzzii is the source of this 659-nucleotide long non-coding RNA. RefSeq lists it as uncharacterized. NCBI's taxonomy places the organism in Eukaryota, Metazoa, Arthropoda, Insecta, Diptera, Culicidae. The record is from RefSeq and is a predicted model, not a curated record. The transcript is spliced from 3 exons.
ACAUGCAUCUACCGUUGGAUUGCGCUACAUCGAGUCUACCCAUCUCUCUCGAUCUACCAUGAUUUUUUCUGCUAUCGCACUCAUCUGGGAGUUAGGCAUCCUCAGUCUGCCCAGAACUUUCGUUGUGGAAGGAUGUGCGGGAGUGAUGUGCGAUUUCUUGUGUCCCCUACUUUCCUUGUUUACGUUUUGCGCAGUGUUGCUUCUUCUUCCAUUGUGGAAUGAUUUAUCCUAGCAAAUUGUUGAGUUACAGGUGCAUGCGCCAUUCAUCAACGCCUACCUGUUGGCAUCAUCAACAAUCUUUAUAGUAGGUGACGGAAAGAAAUUGUUUUCCAGUUUUAAAAUAUUAAGCGUUCAGCACAACUCAGCCACAAAACAACGCACUGGAUUGCGCUAAGAACCUGUCGAAACGCGCGCAGCCCCCGGGAGCGGUAGGAGAAAGGAAGAACGAGAGGAGAAAAAACUAAAGCCAGCGCGCAGCUCUGAUGGUACCCCGUACGCGGUAAGAAGAAAAAAGAUCGAGAGGAGGAAGAACGGUAAAUUUGGAAGGGGGAGACCGUUCUGCCGUCUCCACAGUGUGAGUAUGCCAAAGCACGUGUUGGAAGGGAAAGAAAAAGUGUGGAAUAAACCGCAUGCGAAUGUGUGCAUACAGCAAAAGUAAA